GAUGAACGCUAGCGGGAGGCUUAACACAUGCAAGCCGAGCGGUAUUGUUUCUUCGGAAAUGCGAGAGCGGCGUACGGGUGCGUAACACGUGUGCAACCUGCCUUUAUCUGGGGGAUAGCCUUUCGAAAGGACGAGUAAUACUCCAUAAUAUAUUGAACGGCAUCGUUUAAUAUUGAAAGCUCCGGCGGAUAGAGAUGGGCACGCGCAAGAUGCGCUAGUGGGUGAGGUAACGGCUCACCAAGGCGAUGAUCUUUAUGGGGGCUGAGAGGGUGAUCCCCCACACUGGUACUGAGACACGGACCAGACUCCUACGGGAGGCAGCAAUGAGGAAUAUUGGUCAAUGGGUGCAAGCCUGAACCAGGCAUCCCGCGUGAAGGACGACUGCCCUAUGGGUUGUAAACUUCUUUUGUUUAAGGAUAAACCUACCUUCGUGAGGGUAGCUGAAUGUACUAUACGAAUAAGCACCGGCUAACUCCGUGCCAGCAGCCGCCGUAA
This 495-nucleotide ribosomal RNA is filed under the name uncultured bacterium. RNAcentral's name for it is "partial 16S ribosomal RNA". It matches the Rfam family "Bacterial small subunit ribosomal RNA", at positions 28 to 523 of the family's 1533-position model. The record is from RNAcentral.